Molecule: ribosomal RNA, 253 nt
Filed under: uncultured bacterium
Lineage: Bacteria
Description: partial 16S ribosomal RNA
Rfam family: Bacterial small subunit ribosomal RNA
Source: RNAcentral
UACGAAGGGUGCAAGCGUUACUCGGAAUUACUGGGCGUAAAGCGUGCGUAGGUGGUUUGUUAAGUCUGUUGUGAAAGCCCCGGGCUCAACCUGGGAAUGGCAAUGGAUACUGGCAAGCUAGAGUGCGGUAGAGGGUAGUGGAAUUCCCGGUGUAGCGGUGAAAUGCGCAGAUAUCAGGAGGAACACCGGUGGCGAAGGCGGAUCUCUGGACGAUGACUGACGCUGAGACGCGAAAGCGUGGGGAGCAAACAGG